AAAUCACUGUAAAGAUGGGAGGAGAGGCUGGGUGGAAAGAAAAUCCAUCAGCAGAUUCUUGAGACAGAUGUUGGAACUGCAGGGACCGACCCUGCCCUUCCAUAAGUGCUAAUUAGGUCCAGCUUAAGACAUUUGUUCUCAGCUAUCUAGGCUGGUACCAUUCAGUCCAUGGAAGGCAGGUGCCUGAGUUCCUGCUAAAGUCUUGAACUGCAGGAAAUAACCGAAAACACACCAGAGUAGGUGAGGGAAGGUAGCACGAGACAGGGCCUUACUCUAUAGCCCAAGCUGGCAUUGAACUCCUGGUGGUUCAGGCUCUGGAGUGCUGAGGUGGAAGUUGAGUGCCAGUCGUCCUGUGCCACCUAAUUACGUACAGUGGCUCUGCCAUGGCCAAAGUGGUAUUAUGUUCCCCUGAGUUCUUUCCUAGCAGCCAAGCAGCCACACUCUCCCAAGUCUGUUUAUGUCUAAAGCCUGCCACUUAACUUGAAAUGCUGCUUGAUGUGACAGUUCAGCAAGAGGCCACUUAGUGCUGGUCCUAAAUUGCUGAUCCUAAAUGUACUGACGUGCCCAAGUACAUUUUUGCUGAUGUUUAUGUUAGCAUUGAGUUUAUUUUCUCGGUUAAUCAUUUUAUCUUCUGUGAGUUUUUCUCUAGUCCAUAGGGUCUUAUCAGAUUGGGUUUUGAAGGACUGAGGCUGGAACUUGGGGCUUCAUAGCUGCUGGACAGUGCUUCACCUACCUUCCCCACUCUGUGCUACAUAGUUCUAGAAGCAAGAGGACCAUGAGCAAGCUAGUUUCCCCUUAUCCCUUAUUUUAAUUUUCAGUAAAACAGAUUGAUAAACAACAGUUUAGUUCCAGACAUGGUGGCAUAUGCCUUUAACCCCAGCACUAGGGAGGCAGAGGCAGGGGGAUUCUGAGUUCGAGGCCAGCUUGGUCCAUAGAGGGAGUUCCAGGACAGCCAGGGCUACACAGAGAAACCCUGUCUCAAAAAAAAAAAAAAAAAAA
RNAcentral lists this long non-coding RNA (999 nucleotides) under Rattus norvegicus (Norway rat). RNAcentral describes it as "long non-coding RNA NONRATT033954". The record is from RNAcentral. Lineage: Eukaryota; Metazoa; Chordata; Mammalia; Rodentia; Muridae.